Myiozetetes cayanensis is the source of this 813-nucleotide long non-coding RNA. RefSeq lists it as uncharacterized. NCBI's taxonomy places the organism in Eukaryota, Metazoa, Chordata, Aves, Passeriformes, Tyrannidae. The transcript is spliced from 3 exons. The record is from RefSeq and is a predicted model, not a curated record.
GCCAGCCCUGCUGAGCCCAGGGGAGCUACGUGCCACCACUGCCUCACCCACCAGGAAGCACGGAGGGCAAAACUCUGGAAGGUACCUCUGAGGCAAGAGCUCACUAACUCGAGCUUUGCUCAUCGAGAAGACGGAGCUCCCCUUCCUGCAAAUAACCUUUAGCAUGCGUGGCGACCUAUAUGGAAUAGGUUUGUAUUCACCCAUUGCAGACCAAAGCCACCUCUAGAUCCCAUUAACCUCUGCUAUAAAAGCAAGGGCUGAAAGCAGGGAAUGGAGUUUGGCUAUGCAAGUGCCAAGUGCCCUGCUGGAGUGGGAGCGCUUGCUCCCAGCGAUGCAGAGCACCUGUCAGCCCUGCUGCUCUGAGCCGGGCCUCCAGAGACAUUAAAUGGGAUUAACUCCAACAGCCUAAUCCGAUAUCUUCUGUAAAGAAGACGAUGUUUUAAAUAACUGUGUUUGCCCCACUUUGCCCCACUUUGUGCAUGUCACAUGGCAACGACAGUCUGAAAGAAGAUCAAAAGAGCUUUGGAGAAGACUCUGAUGGUAUACAGAUGGUCUUCCUUGUACAAGACUGUUAUCACUUACAAAGGCACUUUAUGAAACAGAGUUUUGGAACAAGAGGAUAAACACGGCUUCCAGUUUCAGAGGAAACAGUGAAUGAGACAUCAGCACAGGGACUCAAGAACUGAAGAUGGCGAAGCAAAUACAAGUGCAAUCUACUCCAUCAGCUAGUAUAUUAAAAAAUGUAUUAAAAAUAUAUUAAAAAAUGCAUUGCUGUUGCCUGCAAUUUAUCUAUUACGCUUAUAAGAAAAUAUG